This 718-nucleotide ribosomal RNA is filed under the name uncultured bacterium. RNAcentral describes it as "bacterial SSU rRNA". It matches the Rfam family "Bacterial small subunit ribosomal RNA", at positions 28 to 740 of the family's 1533-position model. The record is from RNAcentral.
AUUGAACGGCGGCGGCAUGCCUUACACAUGCAAGUCGAACGGCAGCACGGGUGCUUGCACCUGGUGGCGAGUGGCGAACGGGUGAGUAAUACAUCGGAACGUACCUUAUCGUGGGGGAUAACGCAGCGAAAGUUGCGCUAAUACCGCAUACGCCCUGAGGGGGAAAGCGGGGGACCGUAAGGCCUCGCGCGAUUAGAGCGGCCGAUGUCUGAUUAGCUUGUUGGUGAGGUAAAAGCUCACCAAGGCGAUGAUCAGUAGCUGGUCUGAGAGGACGAUCAGCCACACUGGGACUGAGACACGGCCCAGACUCCUACGGGAGGCAGCAGUGGGGAAUUUUGGACAAUGGGGGCAACCCUGAUCCAGCAAUGCCGCGUGAGUGAAGAAGGCCUUCGGGUUGUAAAGCUCUUUUGUCAGGGAAGAAACAGCAGCUCUAACACAGUCUGCGAAUGACGGUACCUGAAGAAUAAGCACCGGCUAACUACGUGCCAGCAGCCGCGGUAAUACGUAGGGUGCGAGCGUUAAUCGGAAUUACUGGGCGUAAAGCGUGCGCAGGCGGUUAUACAAGACAGGCGUGAAAUCCCCGGGCUUAACCUGGGAAUGGCGUCUGUGACUGUAUAGCUAGAGUGUGUCAGAGGGGGGUGGAAUUCCACGUGUAGCAGUGAAAUGCGUAGAUAUGUGGAGGAACACCAAUGGCGAAGGCAGCCCCCUGGGAUAACAC